GAAAUAACUUGGCAUUAGGAUACUGCAAUGGAAAACAACAUCAUACUCAGGAAACUUCUCAGAAUUCAUUUUUGAGAGUGGACUCCUUUUAUCAUAGUCAACAUCUAGACUGACAAUCCUUGAAAAAUUAUUUUAGAAUAAUUAAAAUCUUAAUGAUCAAUUCAAUAUGAUUCAAAGACCUAAGAAUUAGGCCAGAAACUCUUAGAAGAAAACAGAAGGGGUUGACCUAAUUCCUUUCUCAAUAAGACACUUAAAACUCAGGAAAUGAAGCCAGGAGUUAAUAAAUGGGAAAGCAUCAAAUUAAGAAGCUUCCACACAGCAAAGGAAACAAUUAAGAAUGUGAAGAAAGAAACCACAGAAUGGGAGAAAAUCUUUGCAAUCUACUCUUCUGACAGAGGAUUAAUAUCUAGAAUAUAUAAAGAACUCAAAACAAUAUUACACCAAAAAGUCAAAUAACCCUAUUAAUAAAUGGACAAAUGAAUUAAACAGACACUUCUUUGAAGAAAUGCCAAAGGCCAACAAAUAUGUAAAAAAAUGUUUAACUUAUUAACACUUAGGGAAAUGCAAAUGAAAACUACACUGAGAUUUCAUCUUACACCAGUUAGAAUGGCAUUCAUCAAGAAUACAAGCAAUAAUAAAUGCUGUAGAGUUAUGGAGGAAAAGGAACACUUUUACACUGUUGUGGGAUUGUAAAUUAAUAUAACCACUAUGGAAGUCAGUAUGGUGGUUCCUCAAAAGACUAGGCAUGGAACCACCAUAGAACCAGCUAUACCAUUCCUUGAUAUUUAUUCUAAAGAAUUAAAGUCAUCAUACUAUAGUGAUGCAUACAUACCCAUGUAUAUAACAGCACAAUUCACAAUAACCAAACUACAGCACCAGCCUAGUGUCUAUCAGAGGAUGAAUGGGUAAAGAAAAAAAAUAUUUAUGAUGGAGUUUUAUUCAGC
RNAcentral lists this long non-coding RNA (944 nucleotides) under Marmota monax (woodchuck). The record is from RNAcentral. Lineage: Eukaryota; Metazoa; Chordata; Mammalia; Rodentia; Sciuridae.